Molecule: ribosomal RNA, 1099 nt
Filed under: Salmonella enterica subsp. enterica serovar Stanley
Lineage: Bacteria; Pseudomonadati; Pseudomonadota; Gammaproteobacteria; Enterobacterales; Enterobacteriaceae
Description: partial 23S ribosomal RNA
Rfam family: Bacterial large subunit ribosomal RNA
Source: RNAcentral
CAGUGUGAUUCGUCACACUAUCAUUAACUGAAUCCAUAGGUUAAUGAGGCGAACCGGGGGAACUGAAACAUCUAAGUACCCCGAGGAAAAGAAAUCAACCGAGAUUCCCCCAGUAGCGGCGAGCGAACGGGGAGGAGCCCAGAGCCUGAAUCAGCAUGUGUGUUAGUGGAAGCGUCUGGAAAGUCGCGCGAUACAGGGUGACAGCCCCGUACACAAAAGCGCAUGUGUUGUGAGCUCGAUGAGUAGGGCGGGACACGUGGUAUCCUGUCUGAAUAUGGGGGGACCAUCCUCCAAGGCUAAAUACUCCUGACUGACCGAUAGUGAACCAGUACCGUGAGGGAAAGGCGAAAAGAACCCCGGCGAGGGGAGUGAAAAAGAACCUGAAACCGUGUACGUACAAGCAGUGGGAGCACCCUUCGGGGUGUGACUGCGUACCUUUUGUAUAAUGGGUCAGCGACUUAUAUUCUGUAGCAAGGUUAACCGAAUAGGGGAGCCGGAGGGAAACCGAGUCUUAAUUGGGCGUUAAGUUGCAGGGUAUAGACCCGAAACCCGGUGAUCUAGCCAUGGGCAGGUUGAAGGUUGGGUAACACUAACUGGAGGACCGAACCGACUAAUGUUGAAAAAUUAGCGGAUGACCUGUGGCUGGGGGUGAAAGGCCAAUCAAACCGGGAGAUAGCUGGUUCUCCCCGAAAGCUAUUUAGGUAGCGCCUCGUGAAUUCAUCUCCGGGGGUAGAGCACUGUUUCGGCUAGGGGGCCAUCCCGGCUUACCAACCCGAUGCAAACUGCGAAUACCGGAGAAUGUUAUCACGGGAGACACACGGCGGGUGCUAACGUCCGUCGUGAAGAGGGAAACAACCCAGACCGCCAGCUAAGGUCCCAAAGUCAUGGUUAAGUGGGAAACGAUGUGGGAAGGCCCAGACAGCCAGGAUGUUGGCUUAGAAGCAGCCAUCAUUUAAAGAAAGCGUAAUAGCUCACUGGUCGAGUCGGCCUGCGCGGAAGAUGUAACGGGGCUAAACCAUGCACCGAAGCUGCGGCAGCGACACUGUGUGUUGUUGGGUAGGGGAGCGUUCUGUAAGCCUGUGAAGGUGUGUCGUGAGGC